UACGUAGGGGGCAAGCGUUAUCCGGAUUUACUGGGUGUAAAGGGAGCGUAGACGGCAGUGCAAGUCUGGAGUGAAAGGCGGGGGCUCAACCCCCGGACUGCUCUGGAAACUGUACGGCUGGAGUGCAGGAGAGGUAAGUGGAAUUCCUAGUGUAGCGGUGAAAUGCGUAGGUAUUAGGAGGAACACCAGUGGCGAAGGCGGCUUACUGGACUGUAACUGACGUUGAGGCUCGAAAGCGUGGGGAGCAAACAGG
Molecule: ribosomal RNA, 253 nt
Filed under: uncultured bacterium
Lineage: Bacteria
Description: partial 16S ribosomal RNA
Rfam family: Bacterial small subunit ribosomal RNA
Source: RNAcentral